Molecule: ribosomal RNA, 580 nt
Filed under: Limosilactobacillus reuteri
Lineage: Bacteria; Bacillati; Bacillota; Bacilli; Lactobacillales; Lactobacillaceae
Description: bacterial SSU rRNA
Rfam family: Bacterial small subunit ribosomal RNA
Source: RNAcentral
CGAAGAACCUUACCAGGUCUUGACAUCCAGUGCAAACCUAAGAGAUUAGGUGUUCCCUUCGGGGACGCUGAGACAGGUGGUGCAUGGCUGUCGUCAGCUCGUGUCGUGAGAUGUUGGGUUAAGUCCCGCAACGAGCGCAACCCUUGUCAUUAGUUGCCAUCAUUAAGUUGGGCACUCUAAUGAGACUGCCGGUGACAAACCGGAGGAAGGUGGGGAUGACGUCAAGUCAUCAUGCCCCUUAUGACCUGGGCUACACACGUGCUACAAUGGACGGUACAACGAGAAGCGAACCUGCGAAGGCAAGCGGAUCUCUUAAAGCCGUUCUCAGUUCGGACUGUAGGCUGCAACUCGCCUACACGAAGCUGGAAUCGCUAGUAAUCGCGGAUCAGCACGCCGCGGUGAAUACGUUCCCGGGCCUUGUACACACCGCCCGUCACACCAUGAGAGUCUGUAACACCCAAAGCCGGUGGGAUAACCUUUAUAGGAGUCAGCCGUCUAAGGUAGGACAGAUGAUUAGGGUGAAGUCGUAACAAGGUAGCCGUAGGAGAACCUGCGGCUGGAUCACCUCCUUUCUAAGGAA